UGGCAGAUUAUAUGUAAUGGAUUUAAACCCCAUUUAUAAAGGAUUAUCCUUUUUUUAGAA
This 60-nucleotide transfer RNA is filed under the name Ostrinia nubilalis (European corn borer). Its description in RNAcentral is "tRNA-Leu". Lineage: Eukaryota; Metazoa; Arthropoda; Insecta; Lepidoptera; Crambidae. The record is from RNAcentral.